Long non-coding RNA from Hypomesus transpacificus, 1117 nucleotides. RefSeq lists it as uncharacterized. The record is from RefSeq and is a predicted model, not a curated record. NCBI's taxonomy places the organism in Eukaryota, Metazoa, Chordata, Actinopteri, Osmeriformes, Osmeridae. The transcript is spliced from 3 exons.
UCGAACUGCCUUUGAUUGGGAUCUUAUGUAGGCCAGCCCCAUACACUGGAGACUGCCCCCCCCCCCACCCCCCUCAUCUGCAUGGAUAAACAAGAGACCACCAACAGUGUGGGGUGUUUUCGUUCCUCUCCACAAAACGGGAUGAGUUACCCUGCGGACGAUGAAACUUCGGGGCAGAUGAAAGUUGUGGAACGAGAAACUUUGACAAAGCGUAUGGUGGGAAAUCCUAAAGCCGUUUCACACGCCAGUCAGGGGCGUUCAAGGUCCAGAGGACUGGACAUGUGCAAGCAGACCUCUCGCUUACCCUCUUCAUAGACGCUGGCUCCCUGGCUCGCUGUCUGUGACCACCUCUAAUGCAGGUCAUCUGUCACGCACCCACACCUCAUUCUCCUCCACCUCUGUGGCACGAGGGAAGCUGCACCCGCACCUGAGUGGCCCGCCCGUCUGCCCCCCUCUCUCUCCCUGGUUCUCUCUUUCUCUGUCUCUUUACUUUAGUCUUUCUCCCUCUGCCUUUAUCUUGCCCUCUGUCUCCCUCUCUCUGUCUUUCUCUUUCACUCUCUCUCUCUUUCACUUACUCUUCCUUCCUUGUUAUCUAAUUGCUGAUUGAAUGUUGCUGUUUGUCGUAUCCUGAUGAAAAAUAACCUUUAAUGGUCCUCUGCACCUGUCAGUCCCUCAUUAGAGAAAUGUUUUGAGGUUUUAAUACUUGCUGUUGAUAAUUUGUGCUUUUAUGCCAGCCACAUUUCCUGCCAGUCAGGUGAAUCACAUUACUUUUGUAGAAUUGCCUAUUGACGUACCAUUUCCAGAUAGACGGGACUCACUUUUGCAUAGCUUUGUAGGGAUGCAGUUCUUGGAACUGCCAGGCAAUCUUAAAGGCCAGAUAUGACACUUAUCAUCAUGUCACACCCAUCACAUCAUUUAAAAAUGUUAUACUGGAAAAACAAAAUAUACCUUUUGAAGGAAAUACCUUUUGAUUCUUGAAUUACCUUGAAUUCCCAUACAAUGUCAAUUGUGUUUGAUCCACAAAUGUGUGUAUGUACUUAAAAGAUCAUUGUUAGUUCGAGAGAACAGGAAAUUAGCCGGUACGUUUUUGGUUCUUAUUCAUCAUCCAACAUAAUUA